Oxyura jamaicensis (ruddy duck) is the source of this 1024-nucleotide long non-coding RNA. RefSeq lists it as uncharacterized. The record is from RefSeq and is a predicted model, not a curated record. Lineage: Eukaryota; Metazoa; Chordata; Aves; Anseriformes; Anatidae. The transcript has 6 exons.
GCAGCUAUUUUCUACUACUGCAACUGAAUACCCCCCACCCCAAACACUGCCAGAAGCAAGGUAUGAGGAGUAGCGUUAGAAGAGACUUAUAACUGUAGGUAUAUGGCUGCUGAUCUCCUCUGACAGCGGUGCGCAUUACAAGUAACUCAUUGAAGUCAGUGGGUGCAACCCAUACAUCAAGUCUGUAACAUCCUGGCUGAAUGCACAAAACACCUGAAGCUGGAAUGUUGUAAUGAUUUUUAACAUUUUCCAGAAAAUCCAUUUCUGAUCUUUGGGAAUAUGAAAUCUGGUGCAGACAGGAUUUGAAUUCAGCUGGCUUCCCUUCACUUACGAGGCUCUCCAUCAUUCCACUCUUACUGAUGCUGUUGACCUAAGUUCCUUCUGUGCUUGUCUCCUCUCUACCAAAGCGCAGAAUUUGACCUGUCUCCAAUCACAGCUCUAUGACUCUUCUCUGCUCCAUGGGAUGCUGCCUCCAGUGCUGUCUGGUGAUGGAAAUCCUACCUGUAUGCAGCGCUGGGCCCCAGCUCUUCCUGAAGGAAAGUAUCGUCUGAUCUGAAAUGAGCUGUAAACACCUGGAAAUUCAAGCAACAUCAGCAAAGCACGGUGCUGUCUUCAUGCUCAAUAGAAUAGAAGAGAAGCUCACUGAAGAUUGCGUCGACUGGACCACAACAGCUCCAGGACAUUUAAGUUCGAGACGUGGUCAAGUGCUUUGUCAGCACCCCUACAUACUGUGAGCUGUAACAUGGCCUGGCUGGCAGUUGUGCUGCUUGAGAGCUUGCUAUGUGGAAGAAACAUCGCCGUUCCGUGUGGCCUGGAUGUCAUGGUCAUGCUAAUUAGUCCACAGCCAGUGCUUCUUCCCAGUCCCAUGACUGUUGCUGUUUCAUUCAGAGGUGUGACAAAAGGCAUUAGUCACAACUGGAGACUGGACUAAUUUGCUGAUGUUGUAGAGGGAAUUCUGUCUCCUGGAGACCUGGCUGAUGUGAUCAGAACUCACAAAUGGUAUUGUACCAAAGAUUCAUUCAGG